UUACGAGAAAAGGCACGGGCUUACUUCGUGCCAGCAACCCGGUUAUACGUAGGUGGCCAAACUUUUACGGAAUUUUUGGGGCGUAAACGCGCGCCAGGUGGUUUGGUCAGUCUGAUGUGGAAUUCCCGGGCUCACCCUGGAGGGUCAUUGGAAACUGGGCAGCUUGGAUUCAGAUAGAGGAAGGUAAAUUCCCUGGGUACCGGGAAAAUCGUUGGAAAUUGGAGGGACUCCAGUGGGGGAGGACGCUCUCUGGUCCGUAACCUGCCCUUCAGCUCGAAAACCGGGGGAACCAACCGGAAUUAAUUACCUGGUUAUUCCCCCCCUUAACCAUUAGUGAUUAGUAGUUGAGGGCCUUCAGCCGUUAGUGCCGGAGCUAACGCAUUAAGCCCUCCGCCUGGGGAGUACGGCCGCAAGGUUAAAACUCAAAGGAAUUGACGGGGGCCCGCACAAGCGGUGGAGCAUGUGGUUUAAUUCGAAGCAACGCGAAGAACCUUACCUGGUCUUGACAUCCUCAGAACUUCCAGAGAUAGGAGUUGUCCUUCGGGAGCAGAAGACAGGUGGGCAUGCUGCGUCAGCUCGUGUCGUGAAAUGUGGGUUAAGUCCGCAAGAGCGCACCCUAUAUCUUAGUUCCAUCAUUAGUUGGGCACUUCAAGGAGCUGCCCAGUGCUAACCGGAGGAAGGGGGGGGAGACGUCAAAUCAUCCAUGCCCCUACGCCUGGGUUUCCACCCGUGUUCAAAGGGCGCAUCAAAAGAGAACAAACCUCCGAAGAGGAAGUAAUCUUCUUAAAGCGUUUUCUAUUCCGAUUGUAAGUUUCCA
This 817-nucleotide ribosomal RNA is filed under the name uncultured Bacillus sp. RNAcentral describes it as "bacterial SSU rRNA". It matches the Rfam family "Bacterial small subunit ribosomal RNA", at positions 479 to 1310 of the family's 1533-position model. The record is from RNAcentral. Lineage: Bacteria; Bacillati; Bacillota; Bacilli; Caryophanales; Bacillaceae.